Molecule: ribosomal RNA, 398 nt
Filed under: uncultured bacterium
Lineage: Bacteria
Description: partial 16S ribosomal RNA
Rfam family: Bacterial small subunit ribosomal RNA
Source: RNAcentral
AUACGUAGGGUGCGAGCGUUGUCCGGAAUUACUGGGCGUAAAGAGCUCGUAGGUGGUUUGUCGCGUCGUCUGUGAAAUUCCGGGGCUUAACUCCGGGCGUGCAGGCGAUACGGGCAUAACUUGAGUACUGUAGGGGAGACUGGAAUUCCUGGUGUAGCGGUGAAAUGCGCAGAUAUCAGGAGGAACACCGGUGGCGAAGGCGGGUCUCUGGGCAGUAACUGACGCUGAGGAGCGAAAGCAUGGGUAGCGGACAGGAUUAGAUACCCUGGUAGUCCAUGCCGUAAACGGUGGGCGCUAGGUGUAGGGGUCUUCCACGACUUCUGUGCCGUAGCUAACGCAUUAAGCGCCCCGCCUGGGGAGUACGGCCGCAAGGCUAAAACUCAAAGGAAUUGACGGGG